AUUAAAGCAGAUGCCAUCGGAGGGAGGAUACCGAAAGGUUUCACUUAUAGAAACAACAGCAGAGCGCGGACCUUCCAACUGCUAACCCUAAGAGCAAACACGGCGCUUGGGCGCCAGCCAUCCCGUUAGGCGAGGCGACGGCUCGGACCAGGCACCCGGCAGCCCCCCACCACCACCGCUUUCGGGCGGCUUUGACGCUGCAGCCACCGCGAAACCUAGGACAUCCUGCUGCAGUUGCACACGACUUGCAAAAUUACACACACGAGGUCUGCCCCGAGCGGCUUUUAGCCAGCUGCAGCGUUUAGUCGUUUGACCCUUAACCGAGCUCCCCAUUGGGACAAGAAUUGACAGAAACCAGCCACACUCAGCCAAAAGGAAACGGCAGCAACAAGCUGGCGCACCUCCCCUGUUGUAAGUGCCACGCGUGCUUCCCGUCCCAUUACCGAGCAUCGGUUGUAUCAGACGCACCACAAUGCCCUGGCGACCGCGGUAUAAAGGUUUCCCCUUCUGCAGUAAAGCCGAGGCACGGAAAGGCUAACUUCACAGCAAGCUGCAAAAACUUUCAUGGAGAGAAAAAUCACAUCUGGUCUCUCAGCCCUGGGGUACAGCCCUGAAACAACUUUCUUCUUUCUAGACCAGGCACCGAGAAGGAAAGACAAGACUGCAGUAAGGAGCACAAUGAAAAAGGAAAACAUUUGGCAUGCUGGAGCUGCACUUGAACGGUGUUUGCAGGCCAUAGCCAAAAGAGGAGAUGAAGCAGAUUGUAACCAAAGAGCACUGUUUCAGGCCAAACCAUCCAUCUAGCCCGCUAAACCCCUCUCCAGCUCUACCGAGUCAUGGGCCUCCUCAUCCACUUCCUCCUGGCCCAAACAGGCAUCCACAGAAAGAUACUUCCCCCAAAUACUGCACAACCCUCCAACUACUUUUAGCUGAGGAGAUUUCCCAAGCACGAUGUGGUUUGUCUGUUUAGUAACUCUCAGUAGCUCACUUCUCCAGUACUUGUCCAAGUAAGCUUUGACUGAACCCACGUAAGCUUCUGACUGUAAAACACUGCUGGCCAGGAGUCCCAUCAAUCUACUACCUGCUGCAUAAAACCUACCCCCUUUUCUUUUAUUGCUUUUGAAUAUCCAGUUAAUAUUCCUUUGUGUAAUAUAAAAUGUAGCUUUCUACAAACACAGUUAGACAGCAACCCAACAGUGACACUGACAUGUAUGGUUUUCUGCAUGCACCAGUGAUCACCUCAUUUGCCUUCUGUUCAUUAAUAUAUGCUUGCCAGGAAAAGACUGUGCCUCUGAGCACCUUCAGAGAGCCACACCGUCAAGUCAAGAUGCCAAGAACGCUCCUUCCCCCAACCCCAAACACACACACUUGAGGAAUCUUCUACAUCAAAUUGGAUGGUCUGUAGGGCAGGCAAUAUUAAUUCUUAGACAAGAGAUUUAAAGUCCAGAAUGCAGAAAAUUCAAAAUGAUAAAACCAAGUCUGUGCAGUAGAGAAGACCUGUUUUCUAGUCAUAAUAGGAAUUUUACAUCUGCUUGAGUUACACUUAACAGAAACCAUUUUCAAGUAUAUUUAAUAUAUUGGAUAUUUAAAUGAUUUUUUUGUUUCUGUGUCCACAAAACCUGCACAGUGGAGUAUACAGUGUGCAUAGUAUCAGUCAUUCUGAAGGACAAUAAAGAAUGCAUAUUCCCAUCAGUAAAAUAAGCAUUCCUAUGAGAAGUUUUCUUUCCGAUUAUUUCAUAUAGGAAUUACUCUAUCAGGACCAGAUGCAGCCCAGCCAGGAAAAGGUGUUGUGCAGCUAUCUUCAUUUCAUAUGCCUGGGAUCACAUACCCCCACCCCCAGCUAUCACGUAUCAGAAGAGGGAGUCAUUCCAGCCUUUAGUUCUACAGUAAAUCCACAUCUGUACAUUCGACGGCUGAAGAUAUGCAACAUGGAAAAACUGGUACCACAGAGUCAGUGGGGCUACUAAUUUCAGUAAAUGCUUUUAUGUGCAAAUAAAUUUUUCAUUAUCUGA
This is a long non-coding RNA of Dromaius novaehollandiae (emu), 2012 nucleotides long. RefSeq lists it as uncharacterized. The transcript is spliced from 2 exons. NCBI's taxonomy places the organism in Eukaryota, Metazoa, Chordata, Aves, Casuariiformes, Dromaiidae. The record is from RefSeq and is a predicted model, not a curated record.